This 968-nucleotide long non-coding RNA is filed under the name Homo sapiens (human). Its description in RNAcentral is "HSALNT0049827". Lineage: Eukaryota; Metazoa; Chordata; Mammalia; Primates; Hominidae. The record is from RNAcentral.
AGGGAAUCUGUCCAAAAAAGGUGUAAGGGUUUGGGACAAUAGGAUGAAUACGAAUAACAGCUUCAGUAAUGACUCUAAGGUCGGAGCCAUUUGGUUUCUUUACAGCUAAAAGGGGGGUGUUACAAGGUCAAAUCAAAGGCAAGAAUUAAAGCUCGAAAUUCUUGAAUGAACUUAGUGGGAUCCUGGCUAAAUGAACCCAGUGUGGAUUCGAGAAAGAUCAGACAUUGGAAAAGGGACAUGAACUUGAAUUGUUCCCAAAUCUCCAUUUGCCACCUUGUGGAGAGGGCUUCAGGAUCCCACUGAAGAGUGGUCUUGGACAGAGCCCUCAGUUUCCGAGUAAAGAACCAGACCAUCAAGGGAAGCAGGGAGGGAAAAGAAGGGAGAAAUCCCAGUAAAGUCCUGUACGCACAACCGAGGUGCCUGGCGAGGUGUCGGAGCCCCAGCCUCGGGAAGGGGCCGACUCGAGGGCUGGUAACCAGGAGAAGCUGUUGCAACCACCAAGGGAGGGUGUUUCCUCAGGCCGAGAGCUUAUUGGGAGCUUCGGAGCUACGAACCACAGCAAGCUGCAGGGCAGGCAACUGACCUUUGUCACCCAGGAGUCCAGGGGAUAAGGGCCACCUGGCCACGUGGCCAGGCCGUUCCAGCCAAGGCCAGCAGCAGCAGUGCCCUGGGAGUGGCCUCUCGCAGCUGUGAAACGGGAGCUGAGGGCACCACCUGCUCAGCUCAGCCGCCUUUCUGGGCCCUGGGGUGGGCCUGGGCUGGCAGGAUGGGGCGUGAAGUCCGGGUCAGGACCCGGGACUGGCCUGCCUUGCCCUCCUGGGCAGGACUGACCUGGGGUUGUCUUAGUUCCCCAGAUGAAGUCACCAGCGGAACCAGCCGGCCUGCUACCUGACACACAAGGCCAGGAACUGAGUAUCUUUUAAAAGUUUAACUUGUUUUGUUAUAACUGAUAUAAAAUAAUGCAAACA